UGUAAUAUGAAAGCUAGAGAAAUGUGGAAGAGAAGCCUUCCAGUGUUACCAUAGCCAUGAAGUCAUAAUUCAGUCUCAGACUGAUGGAGCCAAUGCAAUUUCCAUCCCAUUGCUGCAUAAAUAAAGGGACUGAGAAGGAUAAUGGGGCUCUGACAUAGAGAGAUCUUUGGGAAUUUUCUUUGCCACGGGUUUUGAUGUGAUUUUAAUGUAAAAUAGGAUGCAAAUAAUUGGUUGAUAGUUAAUCAAGUCACUCAACAUUGUGUCCAUCUUUUUUUGUUACAAAAGAACAGUUCUUGUGUACUGUCACAUGAAGAACGUGAUGCCUGAUAAAUUCUGAUUCCAUCCAGGACCAGUCUCUUUGCUUCCCCCUGGAGUUCUUUUUUGAUCCAGAUUGACUUUCUUUGUACAGCUACCAAGAGGGCCAGCAGAUAUUCACUGGACAGCUCUUUCUCCUCUCACUCAUGCUUGUGCACGUCCAGAACACUGGGAAUGUCUAGGUACAGCAUUCCUAUAGUUGGAAUUUCAGGCAGUUCCAGUUCCAGGUUGAUGGGAAUGACUGCUUAUCAAUCCCUUCCUCUGCUGUGCCCAGACCUCACCAGUAUCUCCCAUGAUAUGACCUUUCUUCCUGUCAAAAGCCAGUUCAGUAUUUCUCCCUCCUCCAGUCUUCCACAACUUAACCCCUCUUCUUCUCCUCACCAUCUAUUCAAGCAUCCUCCUUUCCUCUCCUUGCCUUUCCUUACUAAAGGGACAAAAUUUUGAAAUGUGCCUCCAGGUUACCUAAAUCUGACCUGUAUGUCUAGCACAGAGCAAUCCUGGCAAAUGAAUGUGGCCACUGGUUCUCCUUCCAGUACACCCCUGUUUCCCACUGUUUUUGUAAACAGAUGAUUCUGGGGUUUGGGUUGCUUGGGGCUUUUUUUCCUCCCCUCUAUGCAUUUUGAUCAGCUGCUUUCUUGUUUUACCUCCAGUCAGCAUUAUUCUGGCUUCUCUGUUUUCAGACAUGUACAGGACACUUAGUGUGCUGUGAAGUGGAGUAAAAAUGCAUUCUCAACUAGAUAUAAUCAAAGUUUGAUCUCUGCCUCAUGCUGUAAGUUUGAGCAGGACUGGUUCUAUCAGUCCUUUUGGUCCCCACCUUCCCUGCAAAGAGAAUGAGAUUUUACAUGCAGAGUAAUGGUGUGUGAGUUUGAGGCAAUGGAGUAUCUUGACAUUAUGGGAUUAUGCUUAUAAGGAGGUGCAAAGAACUCCCACAGACAAAACCUGGUGAUUAAUUGGGUAUUGUGGGUGCUUGAUGUUUUUAAUUUAGGCUUUCAGGAGUUCAUGAGCCCUGGUGCCCUGUGGUGGACAUCUUCUUCAUCACAACAUAGUAAGUAUUGACAGCUUUUGAGCCUACAGACUGCUGAGUUAUGGAAUUUAAAAAAAAAAAGAAAUCUUGGUCUCCAUAUUUUGGAACAUUAGCCCUUGCAUUUGGACCAAUUUUCAACAAAACUGUAUUGAAAACUCUUCUUACUUGAUUUUUCUGUUAUUAUUUUGAAGUGAAUGGGGUGUUAUUCAUCUGUUUUGAAAUCCUGUAUGUUGUUAAAUGACUGCAUUUUGGUGGGCUUGCUUUAUGAACUCAGCUUCUUUCCAACAGCAAAAAGACCUGGGAACAGCUGCUCUGCAGCCACAGGAAGGCCUUUUGGAGAGAGCUGGGGGCAGAGGAGGGGAAGCCAUGUCAAAGCUAGCUUGUGAUCAACACACAACUACAAUUCCCACUUCACAACCUCUCAGUUUCCUUACUAGCCUCUUGUGAGGUAUAUUGUCAAAAGUGCUUUAAAAAUCCCAAUAAAUUAU
This is a long non-coding RNA of Passer domesticus (house sparrow), 1827 nucleotides long. RefSeq lists it as uncharacterized. Lineage: Eukaryota; Metazoa; Chordata; Aves; Passeriformes; Passeridae. The transcript is spliced from 3 exons. The record is from RefSeq and is a predicted model, not a curated record.